RNAcentral lists this small RNA (112 nucleotides) under Mytilus galloprovincialis (Mediterranean mussel). Lineage: Eukaryota; Metazoa; Mollusca; Bivalvia; Mytilida; Mytilidae. The record is from RNAcentral.
CAAGGCAAAUUGAAAAAUGCUCCACGUUGGAGCAUUUUUCAUUUUUCAAAUUUGAAAGACAAAUUGAAAAAUGCUCCACGAUGGAGCAUUUUUCAUUUUUCAAUUUUUAAAG